Molecule: ribosomal RNA, 452 nt
Filed under: uncultured soil bacterium
Lineage: Bacteria
Description: bacterial SSU rRNA
Rfam family: Bacterial small subunit ribosomal RNA
Source: RNAcentral
AGAUUGAACGCUGGCGGCAUGCCUUACACAUGCAAGUCGAACGGCAGCACGGGAGCAAUCCUGGUGGCGAGUGGCGAACGGGUGAGUAAUACAUCGGAACGUGCCCAAUCGUGGGGGAUAACGCAGCGAAAGCUGUGCUAAUACCGCAUAAGAUCUACGGAUGAAAGCAGGGGAUCGCAAGACCUUGCGCGAAUGGAGCGGCCGAUGGCAGAUUAGGUAGUUGGUGAGGUAAAGGCUCACCAAGCCUUCGAUCUGUAGCUGGUCUGAGAGGACGACCAGCCACACUGGGACUGAGACACGGCCCAGACUCCUACGGGAGCAGCAGUGGGGAAUUUGGACAAUGGGCGAAAGCCUGAUCCAGCCAUGCCGCGUGCAGGAUGAAGCCGUUCGGUUAGUUAAACUGUACGUUUGUAACGGAACGUAAAGUCUACUUUCUAACGUAAAGAGGAUAC